UACGGAGGGUCCAAGCGUUAUCCGGAUUUAUUGGGGUUUAAAGGGUGCGUAGGCGGUUCAGUAAGUUAUAGGUGAAAUCCCGUGGCUCAACCACGGACCUGCCUCUGAUACUGCUGGUCUUGAGUGAGAAUGAAGCAGCUGGAAUGUGUGGUGUAGCGGUGAAAUGCAUAGAUAUCACACAGAACACCGAUAGCGAAGGCAGGUUGCUAAUUCUCAACUGACGCUGAGGGAUGAAAGCGUGGGGAGGCAAACAGGAUUA
This 259-nucleotide ribosomal RNA is filed under the name uncultured prokaryote. RNAcentral's name for it is "partial 16S ribosomal RNA". It matches the Rfam family "Bacterial small subunit ribosomal RNA", at positions 524 to 780 of the family's 1533-position model. The record is from RNAcentral.